UACGGAGGGGGCUAGCGUUGUUCGGAAUUACUGGGCGUAAAGCGCACGUAGGCGGCUUUGUAAGUCAGAGGUGAAAGCCCGGGGCUCAACUCCGGAAUUGCCUUUGAGACUGCAUCGCUUGAAUCACGGAGAGGUGGGUGGAAUUCCGAGUGUAGAGGUGAAAUUCGUAGAUAUUCGGAAGAACACCAGUGGCGAAGGCGGCCCACUGGACGUGUAUUGACGCUGAGGUG
This 230-nucleotide ribosomal RNA is filed under the name uncultured microorganism. RNAcentral describes it as "partial 16S ribosomal RNA". It matches the Rfam family "Bacterial small subunit ribosomal RNA", at positions 524 to 753 of the family's 1533-position model. The record is from RNAcentral.